GACGAACGCUGGCGGCGUGCUUAACACAUGCCAGUCGAACGGUGAACGAGGGAGCUUGCUCCCUCCGGAUCAGUGGCGAACGGGUGAGUAACACGUGAGCAAUCUGCCCCGAACUCUGGGAUAAGCGUUGGAAACGACGUCUAAUACCGGAUACGACGCGGGAGGGCAUCCUCUCCGCGUGGAAAGAACUUCGGUUCGGGAUGAGCUCGCGGCCUAUCAGCUUGUUGGUGAGGUAACGGCUCUCCAAGGCGACGACGGGUAGCCGGCCUGAGAGGGUGACCGGCCACACUGGGACUGAGACACGGCCCAGACUCCUACGGGAGGCAGCAGUGGGGAAUAUUGCACAAUGGGCGCAAGCCUGAUGCAGCAACGCCGCGUGAGGGACGACGGCCUUCGGGUUGUAAACCUCUUUUAGCAGGGAAGAAGCGAAAGUGACGGUACCUGCAGAAAAAGCACCGGCUAACUACGUG
This 470-nucleotide ribosomal RNA is filed under the name uncultured bacterium. RNAcentral describes it as "partial 16S ribosomal RNA". It matches the Rfam family "Bacterial small subunit ribosomal RNA", at positions 28 to 507 of the family's 1533-position model. The record is from RNAcentral.